GACGAACGCUGGCGGCGUGCUUAACACAUGCAAGUCGAACGGAAAGGCCCUGCUUUUGUGGGGUGCUCGAGUGGCGAACGGGUGAGUAACACGUGAGUAGCCUGCCCUUGACUUGGGGAUAACUUCAGGAAACUGGGGCUAAUACCGGAUAGGAGCUCCUGCUGCAGGGGGGGGGUUGGAAAGUUUGGGCGGUUGGGGAUGGACUCGCGGCUUAUCAGCUUGUUGGUGGGGUAGUGGCUUACCAAGGCUUUGACGGGUAGCCGGCCUGAGAGGGUGACCGGCCACAUUGGGACUGAGAUACGGCCCAGACUCCUACGGGAGGCAGCAGUGGGGAAUAUUGCACAAUGGGCGGAAGCCUGAUGCAGCAACGCCGCGUGCGGGAUGACGGCCUUCGGGUUGUAAACCGCUUUCGCCUGUGACGAAGCGUGAGUGACGGUAAUGGGUAAAGAAGCACCGGCUAACUACGUG
Molecule: ribosomal RNA, 468 nt
Filed under: uncultured bacterium
Lineage: Bacteria
Description: partial 16S ribosomal RNA
Rfam family: Bacterial small subunit ribosomal RNA
Source: RNAcentral